CAUUGCCUGACGGUAUAUUGUACUUUUUAUUCAAUUUCUUGUAUCUGACAGUCACUAUAAGUUAGUUUAUUUUUUUACAGUGGGGUAUUGCUACUUUGCCAGGUAGUCUGGAUCAACAGAAGUAUAUUUCCAGGAUAAUUGCCUGACAUGUUCCUCACCUUGCUCUCUAGCUGUUGUUGCUCUCAAACUCGUUCAUUCCGGGAAACAACCAACUUCGAGCUAGCAAGCUACACGCUGAAAAUGGCAAGUUUUGAAGAAAAUUCAGUUUGUGCAACAAGGCAGGCAUGCUUGGUUCUUUUGGGGAAUGAUUGUAAAGAUGUAAUAUGUUUACGGCAUUUACUCUCUAACCUGGACGUUUUGGAACCUGGAGAGGAUUGCAAUGGACAAAGUACAUACACUGGUAUAUACUGUUCCUUCCCGAGACUAUUUUGCAGAGCCACCAUUGCUGCGUCCGGAGCGUAGGGCUGCCCAAGACGAUUGUGAUUGGCUUAAAGUAGGCCUAACGCAAACAACCCCAAGCGUUUUUUCUCCUAUCCCUGAAUACACUCCACAGCGCUGUGGAGAAAGACUUUUCAAGGGCCCUCUCUCCCCUUGGGCACUGGUAAUCAGUAUUGGUUUUCCCCCGUUCCGAUGCCCCUGCUUGGCAAUAAAGCCCUUUCUGAUUCUGA
Molecule: long non-coding RNA, 668 nt
Organism: Perca flavescens (yellow perch)
Lineage: Eukaryota; Metazoa; Chordata; Actinopteri; Perciformes; Percidae
Exons: 3
Source: RefSeq, a predicted model, not a curated record